RNAcentral lists this ribosomal RNA (348 nucleotides) under Galeommatoidea sp. MN6949. RNAcentral describes it as "partial 16S ribosomal RNA". It matches the Rfam family "Archaeal large subunit ribosomal RNA", at positions 1954 to 2584 of the family's 2987-position model. Lineage: Eukaryota; Metazoa; Mollusca; Bivalvia; Galeommatida. The record is from RNAcentral.
CCCGGUGAAUUUUUAACGGCCGCAGUUGAGAGCUGUGCUAAGGUAGCGUAGUAAGUUGUCCUUUAAAUGGGGAAAGGAAUGAAUGGUUUGACGUGAGAGUCCCUGUCUCUAGUAGAAUAAAAAAAAUUUUCUUCUUGGUGAAAAGCCCAAGAUACAAGUAAAAGACGAGAAGACCCUUUCGAGCUUGAUUAAGUGAGAAAUUAGUUUUAAGCGGAAGUUUGGUUGGGGCAACCUGGGAGCAAAACAAGACUCCUAGUUGAUUAUGAGGAUCCAAAAGUUUUGAAAAAAGAAAAAGCUACCGUAGGGAUAACAGCGUUAUCUUUCCUGAGAGAACAUAUUGAAGGAAAG